This 250-nucleotide ribosomal RNA is filed under the name uncultured bacterium. RNAcentral describes it as "partial 16S ribosomal RNA". It matches the Rfam family "Bacterial small subunit ribosomal RNA", at positions 524 to 773 of the family's 1533-position model. The record is from RNAcentral.
UACGUAGGUGGCAAGCGUUAUCCGGAAUUACUGGGCGUAAAGGGUCCGCAGGUGGAAGGGUCAGUCUGGUGUGACAGCCCCCGGCUUAACUGGGGGUGGGCAUUGGAAACUGCCUAUCUUGAGUCACGGAGAGGGGUGCGGAAUUCCGGGUGUAGUGGUGGAAUGCGUAGAGAUCCGGAGGAACACCGAAGGCGCAAGCAGCACCCUGGCCGAGGACUGACACUGAGGGACGAAAGUAUGGGGAGCAAAC